AAAAAGGCAAACCCUGGGUUUCCGUGUCCAACUUUGAUUGUCCGUCUUAUAUGAAAUUUUUUUAUAAUUCGUAUUUUCAUUGUUGUUAGAUGAUAAAACAUGAUUAAUAUUUUAUGCGUGACUUGUCUUUUUAAUUUUUUUCAUAAUUUUUUUAAAUAAGACGGACGGUCAAACGUUGGGCACGGAAACCAGGGUUUGUCUUUUU
Molecule: microRNA precursor, 205 nt
Organism: Oryza sativa Indica Group (long-grained rice)
Lineage: Eukaryota; Viridiplantae; Streptophyta; Magnoliopsida; Poales; Poaceae
Rfam family: MIR812 microRNA precursor family
Source: Rfam